RNAcentral lists this ribosomal RNA (715 nucleotides) under Trichodon trichodon. Its description in RNAcentral is "partial 12S ribosomal RNA". It matches the Rfam family "Bacterial small subunit ribosomal RNA", at positions 327 to 1301 of the family's 1533-position model. Lineage: Eukaryota; Metazoa; Chordata; Actinopteri; Perciformes; Trichodontidae. The record is from RNAcentral.
UGUCCCACAGUUCCCCGCCCUGGAACAAGGAACUGGUAUCAGGCACAAACACGCAGCCCAUGACACCUUGCUUAGCCACACCCUCAAGGGAACUCAGCAGUGAUAAACAUUAAGCCAUAAGUGAAAACUUGACUUAAUUAAAGCUAAGAGGGCCGGUAAAACUCGUGCCAGCCACCGCGGUUAUACGAGAGGCCCAAAUUGAUACCCGUUGGCGUAAAGCGUGGUUAGGUUUAAACUUACACUAAAGCCAAAUAUCUUCAAGACUGUUAUACGUGCACGAAGACAAGAAGUUCAACUACGAAAGUGGCUUUAUUUAUUCUGAACCCACGAAAGCUAAGAUACAAACUGGGAUUAGAUACCCCACUAUGCCUAGCCCUAAACAUUGAUAGUGUUCUACACCCACUAUCCGCCAGGGAACUACAAGCAAUAGCUUAAAACCCAAAGGACUUGGCGGUGCUUUAGAUCCACCUAGAGGAGCCUGUUCUGGAACCGAUAACCCCCGUUCAACCUCACCCUUCCUUGUUCUUCCCGCCUAUAUACCGCCGUCGUCAGCUUACCCUGUGAAGGUUUAAUAGUGAGCAAAACUGGCACAGCCCAGGACGUCAGGUCGAGGUGUAGCGUAUGGAGGGGGAAGAAAUGGGCUACAUUCGCUACCACAGCGAACACGAAACGUGUAAUGAAACGUACAUCUGAAGGAGGAUUUAGCAGUAAGCAG